AGCAGCCGCGGUAAUUCCAGCUCCAAUAGCGUAUAUUAAAGUUGUUGCAGUUAAAAAGCUCGUAGUUGAAUUUCGGGACUAAUAUGUCGGUCGUACUUUGUACGUACUAGCAUUAUUGGUUUCUCCCUUCUGACGAACCACGACGUCAUUAAUUUGGUGUCAUGGGGAAUCAGGACUGUUACUUUGAAAAAUUAGAGUGUUUAAAGCAAGCUCGCGCUUGAAUACAUUAGCAUGGAAUAAUGAAAUAGGACGUUUGAUUCUAUUUUGUUGGUUUCUAGGAUCGACGUAAUGAUUAAUAGGGAUAGUUGGGGGCAUUAGUAUUCAAUUGUCAGAGGUGAAAUUCUUGGAUUUAUUGAAGACUAACUACUGCGAAAGCAUUUGCCAAGGAUGUUUUCAUUAAUCAAGAACGAAAGUUAGGGGAUCGAAGACGAUCAGAUACCGUCGUAGUCUUAACCAUAAACUAUGCCGACUAGGGAUCGGAUGAUGUUAAUUUUUUAAUGACUCAUUCGGCGCCUUACG
This 519-nucleotide ribosomal RNA is filed under the name uncultured Glomeromycotina. RNAcentral describes it as "SSU rRNA". It matches the Rfam family "Eukaryotic small subunit ribosomal RNA", at positions 569 to 1092 of the family's 1831-position model. Lineage: Eukaryota; Fungi; Glomeromycota. The record is from RNAcentral.